AACUACACCAACUAGGACAGUGGUCAAUGUGCAGACCAGACCAGCCACUUCAACCACACAUUCCUCUCAAAAGCCUGAUGAACCCUACAUCCCCUUCGCCUUGGUCACUGUGAUCUUUCUCCACAUUAUAGUAGCUGUGGUUUAUCACACCAAGAGAACCAAAGAUCCUGCCAGAGUUACCUACAGCACUGCUGAUGGAGUGGUCAGUCUGGAUUAGUGUAUUUUUGCAACACUGGCAUGACGUCACCAUACAGAAGACAAAACCUCUUAAAAUCACGAGUGGAAGAAUUUCUCUGCUGGUGAUGUUCAUAAAGUGCCAAGAUAUGUAUCUUAUUUUUUAAGCUGAACUGCUAAUGAUACAAUUGUAAUAUUGCACAUUAAAUGUGACAUAAUAUGAUGUAUUAUUAUACAUGUAAUAGCAUAAUACUUUGACCUUUUAUGUGGCCACGACCUGCCAGGAGGCCCAAGGUUUUAUUACACACUUUUAUAAGCCAACACAACCGGCUUUCAUUAAAGUCCCUGUAGAGA
Pygocentrus nattereri (red-bellied piranha) is the source of this 528-nucleotide long non-coding RNA. RefSeq lists it as uncharacterized. The record is from RefSeq and is a predicted model, not a curated record. The transcript has 3 exons. NCBI's taxonomy places the organism in Eukaryota, Metazoa, Chordata, Actinopteri, Characiformes, Serrasalmidae.